GACGAACGCUGGCGGCGUGCUUAACACAUGCAAGUCGAACGGAAAGGCCCUGCUUUUGUGGGGUGCUCGAGUGGCGAACGGGUGAGUAACACGUGAGUAACCUGCCCUUGACUUUGGGAUAACUUCAGGAAACUGGGGCUAAUACCGGAUAGGAGCUCCCGCUGCAUGGUGGGGGUUGGAAAGGUUCGGCGGUUGGGGAUGGACGCGCGGCUUAUCAGCUUGUUGGUGGGGUAGUGGCUUACCAAGGCUUUGACGGGUAGCCGGCCUGAGAGGGUGACCUGCCACAUUGGGACUGAGAUACGGCCCAGACCCCUACGGGAGGCAGAAGUGGGGAAUAUUGCACAAUGGGAGGAAGCCUGAUGCAGCAACGCCGCGUGCGGGAUGACGGCAUUCGGGUUGUAAACCGCUUUCGCCUGUGACGAAGCGUGAGUGACGGUAAUGGGUAAAGAAGCACCGGCUAACUACGUG
This 468-nucleotide ribosomal RNA is filed under the name uncultured bacterium. RNAcentral's name for it is "partial 16S ribosomal RNA". It matches the Rfam family "Bacterial small subunit ribosomal RNA", at positions 28 to 507 of the family's 1533-position model. The record is from RNAcentral.